RNAcentral lists this long non-coding RNA (339 nucleotides) under Heterocephalus glaber (naked mole-rat). RNAcentral describes it as "lncRNA (ENSHGLG00000031595.2)". Lineage: Eukaryota; Metazoa; Chordata; Mammalia; Rodentia; Bathyergidae. The record is from RNAcentral.
GGAAAAAGAAUGUACAAGGAAACAACUGUGGCCAUGUUGCAAAGUUUGAAGAGACGAGACAGGAAGCACAGAAAAUCUGUGCUUUUCAUGGUGCCUCAAUCAAGGGACUGGCUAACGAUCAAGAGGCAGAUUGCUGUGGUUAUGCCAGCAUUGCAUUCCCCGAGGGUGGAAGGCAAGAGGAAAACUCUGAGUGCCACCAAGAUGAGCUAUCUCCCAGUGAUGCAGUCUCCUGUGUGGUUUUGGACCAAAUAUCUGGCUGGAUAAGAAUACAAAUGCUGGGCCGGGGAUUUAGCUCAGUGAUUUCACCACCUGCUGCGCAAGCCCAAGGACCCGAGUUUG